RNAcentral lists this ribosomal RNA (993 nucleotides) under Escherichia coli. RNAcentral describes it as "partial 23S ribosomal RNA". It matches the Rfam family "Bacterial large subunit ribosomal RNA", at positions 466 to 1458 of the family's 2925-position model. The record is from RNAcentral. Lineage: Bacteria; Pseudomonadati; Pseudomonadota; Gammaproteobacteria; Enterobacterales; Enterobacteriaceae.
CUAAAUACUCCUGACUGACCGAUAGUGAACCAGUACCGUGAGGGAAAGGCGAAAAGAACCCCGGCGAGGGGAGUGAAAAAGAACCUGAAACCGUGUACGUACAAGCAGUGGGAGCACGCUUAGGCGUGUGACUGCGUACCUUUUGUAUAAUGGGUCAGCGACUUAUAUUCUGUAGCAAGGUUAACCGAAUAGGGGAGCCGAAGGGAAACCGAGUCUUAACUGGGCGUUAAGUUGCAGGGUAUAGACCCGAAACCCGGUGAUCUAGCCAUGGGCAGGUUGAAGGUUGGGUAACACUAACUGGAGGACCGAACCGACUAAUGUUGAAAAAUUAGCGGAUGACUUGUGGCUGGGGGUGAAAGGCCAAUCAAACCGGGAGAUAGCUGGUUCUCCCCGAAAGCUAUUUAGGUAGCGCCUCGUGAAUUCAUCUCCGGGGGUAGAGCACUGUUUCGGCAAGGGGGUCAUCCCGACUUACCAACCCGAUGCAAACUGCGAAUACCGGAGAAUGUUAUCACGGGAGACACACGGCGGGUGCUAACGUCCGUCGUGAAGAGGGAAACAACCCAGACCGCCAGCUAAGGUCCCAAAGUCAUGGUUAAGUGGGAAACGAUGUGGGAAGGCCCAGACAGCCAGGAUGUUGGCUUAGAAGCAGCCAUCAUUUAAAGAAAGCGUAAUAGCUCACUGGUCGAGUCGGCCUGCGCGGAAGAUGUAACGGGGCUAAACCAUGCACCGAAGCUGCGGCAGCGACGCUGAUGCGUUGUUGGGUAGGGGAGCGUUCUGUAAGCCUGCGAAGGUGUGCUGUGAGGCAUGCUGGAGGUAUCAGAAGUGCGAAUGCUGACAUAAGUAACGAUAAAGCGGGUGAAAAGCCCGCUCGCCGGAAGACCAAGGGUUCCUGUCCAACGUUAAUCGGGGCAGGGUGAGUCGACCCCUAAGGCGAGGCCGAAAGGCGUAGUCGAUGGGAAACAGGUUAAUAUUCCUGUACUUGGUGUUACUGCG